This 1550-nucleotide ribosomal RNA is filed under the name Klebsiella sp. K-Nf6. RNAcentral's name for it is "bacterial SSU rRNA". It matches the Rfam family "Bacterial small subunit ribosomal RNA". RNAcentral also lists the same sequence under 4 other names. Lineage: Bacteria; Pseudomonadati; Pseudomonadota; Gammaproteobacteria; Enterobacterales; Enterobacteriaceae. The record is from RNAcentral.
AAAUUGAAGAGUUUGAUCAUGGCUCAGAUUGAACGCUGGCGGCAGGCCUAACACAUGCAAGUCGAGCGGUAGCACAGAGAGCUUGCUCUCGGGUGACGAGCGGCGGACGGGUGAGUAAUGUCUGGGAAACUGCCUGAUGGAGGGGGAUAACUACUGGAAACGGUAGCUAAUACCGCAUAACGUCGCAAGACCAAAGUGGGGGACCUUCGGGCCUCAUGCCAUCAGAUGUGCCCAGAUGGGAUUAGCUAGUAGGUGGGGUAACGGCUCACCUAGGCGACGAUCCCUAGCUGGUCUGAGAGGAUGACCAGCCACACUGGAACUGAGACACGGUCCAGACUCCUACGGGAGGCAGCAGUGGGGAAUAUUGCACAAUGGGCGCAAGCCUGAUGCAGCCAUGCCGCGUGUGUGAAGAAGGCCUUCGGGUUGUAAAGCACUUUCAGCGGGGAGGAAGGCGGUGAGGUUAAUAACCUCAUCGAUUGACGUUACCCGCAGAAGAAGCACCGGCUAACUCCGUGCCAGCAGCCGCGGUAAUACGGAGGGUGCAAGCGUUAAUCGGAAUUACUGGGCGUAAAGCGCACGCAGGCGGUCUGUCAAGUCGGAUGUGAAAUCCCCGGGCUCAACCUGGGAACUGCAUUCGAAACUGGCAGGCUAGAGUCUUGUAGAGGGGGGUAGAAUUCCAGGUGUAGCGGUGAAAUGCGUAGAGAUCUGGAGGAAUACCGGUGGCGAAGGCGGCCCCCUGGACAAAGACUGACGCUCAGGUGCGAAAGCGUGGGGAGCAAACAGGAUUAGAUACCCUGGUAGUCCACGCUGUAAACGAUGUCGAUUUGGAGGUUGUGCCCUUGAGGCGUGGCUUCCGGAGCUAACGCGUUAAAUCGACCGCCUGGGGAGUACGGCCGCAAGGUUAAAACUCAAAUGAAUUGACGGGGGCCCGCACAAGCGGUGGAGCAUGUGGUUUAAUUCGAUGCAACGCGAAGAACCUUACCUGGUCUUGACAUCCACAGAACUUAGCAGAGAUGCUUUGGUGCCUUCGGGAACUGUGAGACAGGUGCUGCAUGGCUGUCGUCAGCUCGUGUUGUGAAAUGUUGGGUUAAGUCCCGCAACGAGCGCAACCCUUAUCCUUUGUUGCCAGCGGUCCGGCCGGGAACUCAAAGGAGACUGCCAGUGAUAAACUGGAGGAAGGUGGGGAUGACGUCAAGUCAUCAUGGCCCUUACGACCAGGGCUACACACGUGCUACAAUGGCAUAUACAAAGAGAAGCGACCUCGCGAGAGCAAGCGGACCUCAUAAAGUAUGUCGUAGUCCGGAUUGGAGUCUGCAACUCGACUCCAUGAAGUCGGAAUCGCUAGUAAUCGUAGAUCAGAAUGCUACGGUGAAUACGUUCCCGGGCCUUGUACACACCGCCCGUCACACCAUGGGAGUGGGUUGCAAAAGAAGUAGGUAGCUUAACCUUCGGGAGGGCGCUUACCACUUUGUGAUUCAUGACUGGGGUGAAGUCGUAACAAGGUAACCGUAGGGGAACCUGCGGUUGGAUCACCUCCUUACCUUAAAGAA